CAGCCGCCGCGGUAAUACGAAGGGGGCUAGCGUUGUUCGGAUUUACUGGGCGUAAAGCGCACGUAGGCGGAUCCUUAAGUCAGAGGUGAAAUCCCAAGGCUCAACCUUGGAACUGCCUUUGAUACUGGGGAUCUCGAGUCCGGGAGAGGUGAGUGGAACUGCGAGUGUAGAGGUGAAAUUCGUAGAUAUUCGGAAGAACACCAGUGGCGAAGGCGACACACUGGCCCAUUACUGACGCUGAGGCUCGAAAGCGUGGGGAGCAAACAGGAUUAGAUACCCCUGUAGUCCCUGUCUCUUAUAC
RNAcentral lists this ribosomal RNA (301 nucleotides) under uncultured bacterium. RNAcentral's name for it is "partial 16S ribosomal RNA". It matches the Rfam family "Bacterial small subunit ribosomal RNA", at positions 509 to 807 of the family's 1533-position model. The record is from RNAcentral.